AGUGAACGCUGGCGGUAGGCCUAACACAUGCAAGUCGAACGGCAGCACAGUAAGAGCUUGCUCUUACGGGUGGCGAGUGGCGGACGGGUGAGGAAUACAUCGGAAUCUACUUUUUCGUGGGGGAUAACGUAGGGAAACUUACGCUAAUACCGCAUACGACCUACGGGUGAAAGCAGGGGAUCUUCGGACCUUUCGCGAUUGAAUGAGCCGAUGUCGGAUUAGCUAGUUGGCGGGGUAAAGGCCCACCAAGGCGACGAUCCGUAGCUGGUCUGAGGAGAUGAUCAGCCACACUGGAACUGAGACACGGUCCAGACUCCUACGGGAGGCAACAGUGGGGAAUAUUGGCCAAUUGGGGGAAGCCUGAUCCAGCCAUACCGCGUGGGUGAAGAAGGCCUUCGGGUUGUAAAGCCCUUUUGUUGGGAAAGAAAAGCAGCAGGUUAAUACCCCGCUGUUCUGACGGUACCCAAAGAAUAAGCACCGGCUAACUUCGUG
RNAcentral lists this ribosomal RNA (492 nucleotides) under uncultured bacterium. RNAcentral's name for it is "partial 16S ribosomal RNA". It matches the Rfam family "Bacterial small subunit ribosomal RNA", at positions 29 to 507 of the family's 1533-position model. The record is from RNAcentral.